This 253-nucleotide unclassified non-coding RNA is filed under the name uncultured Alphaproteobacteria bacterium. RNAcentral describes it as "contains 16S-23S intergenic spacer region". It matches the Rfam family "Bacterial small subunit ribosomal RNA", at positions 524 to 776 of the family's 1533-position model. Lineage: Bacteria; Pseudomonadati; Pseudomonadota; Alphaproteobacteria. The record is from RNAcentral.
UACGAAAGGUGCAAGCGUUAAUCGGAAUUACUGGGCGUAAAGCGCACGUAGGCGGAUUGGUCAGUUAGGGGUGAAAUCCCGGAGCUCAACUCCGGAACUGCCUUUAAUACUGCCAGUCUAGAGACCGAGAGAGGUAAGUGGAACUCCUAGUGUAGAGGUGGAAUUCGUAGAUAUUAGGAAGAACACCAGUGGCGAAGGCGGCUUACUGGCUCGGAACUGACGCUGAGGUGCGAAAGCGUGGGUAGCAAACAGG